This 1179-nucleotide ribosomal RNA is filed under the name uncultured fungus. RNAcentral's name for it is "eukaryotic LSU rRNA". The stretch from base 547 to 1179 matches the Rfam family "Eukaryotic large subunit ribosomal RNA", at positions 1 to 634 of the family's 3401-position model. The record is from RNAcentral. Lineage: Eukaryota; Fungi.
GAUCAUUACAGAGAUCAUGCCCUCACGGGUAGACCUCCCACCCUGUGGUUAUUUACGAUUGUUGCUUUGGCAGGUCGCCUUCGGGCACUCGGCUCUGGCUGAGGUGCACCUGCCAGAGGACCCCAACUCUGUGUUUAGUGUUGUCUGAGUCUUAUUUAAUACGUUAAAACUUUCAACAACGGAUCUCUUGGUUCUGGCAUCGAUGAAGAACGCAGCGAAAUGCGAUAAGUAAUGUGAAUUGCAGAAUUCAGUGAAUCAUCGAAUCUUUGAACGCACCUUGCGCCCUUUGGCUAUUCCGAAGGGCAUGCCUGUUUGAGUAUCGUGAACACCUCAACUCUCACGGUUUGCCGUGAUGAGCUUGGACUUUGGAGGUUUUGCUGGCCCACGGUCUGCUCCUCUCAAAUGAAUUAGCUUACCAGUCUAUGGUGGCGCCACAGGUGUGAUAACUAUCUGCGCUCGUGGUCGUACGCCAGAUAACCUUCAGCGAUGGAGGUUUGCUGGGGCUCAUAAAUGUCCCUCCUCGGUGAAGACAGCUUCUUUGACGUUUGAUCUCAAAUCAGGUAGGACUACCCGCUGAACUUAAGCAUAUCAAUAAGCGGAGGAAAAGAAACUAAACAAGGAUUCCCCUAGUAACUGCGAGUGAAGCGGGAAGAGCUCAAAUUUAAAAUCUGGCGUGCCUCUGGUCGUCCGAGUUGUAGUCUGGAGAAGCGUUUUCCGUGUUGGACCGUGUACAAGUCCCUUGGAACAGGGCGUCAUAGAGGGUGAGAAUCCCGUCUUUGACACGGACUACCAAUGCUUUGUGAUGCGCUCUCAAAGAGUCGAGUUGUUUGGGAAUGCAGCUCAAAAUGGGUGGUAAAUUCCAUCUAAAGCUAAAUAUAGGCGAGAGACCGAUAGCGAACAAGUACCGUGAGGGAAAGAUGAAAAGCACUUUGGAAAGAGAGUUAAACAGUACGUGAAAUUGCUGAAAGGGAAACGCUUGAAGUCAGUCGCGUCUGCCAGGACUCAGCCUCGCUUCUGCUUGGUGUACUUUCUGGUUGGAUGGGCCAACAUCAAUUUUGACCGUUGGAGAAAGGCUUUGGGAACGUGGCACCUUCGGGUGUGUUAUAGCCCUUGGUUGUAUACGACGGUUGGGAUUGAGGACCGCAGCACGCCUUUAUGGCCCCGGGGUUCGCCCACAUA